GAUGAUCGACAGUAUGACGAGUUUUGAAUUCACCCCCGCAUGUCGAGACACUCCAGGCGUCCUUUGCUCGGAUUUUGGCCAACCGCGUGCGGUAACACCCGGGAGACCAGCUUCCGUCCCUUAUCCUUGAGAGGAUGGGGGGACAACGAUUUGUGACACCCAGGCAAACGUGCCCUCGGCCAAAAGGCUUGGGGCGCAACUUGCGUUCAAAGACUCAAUGGUUCAGGGGAUUCUGCAAUUCACACCAAGUAUCGCAUUUCGCUACUUUCUUCAUCGAUGCGAGAGCCGAGAUAUCCGUUGCCGAGAGUCGUUUUAGACUUUAAAUUGCAGCACAACUUCCGCACAAACACCGUCUCCGGGUUGGCGAACGCAGGCUGUUUAAUUGCAUGUUCCUUGACACUUUUCGUGGCGGGGUUUGGUGAAAUCCGGAAGCUAUGCCCACGAACCAACCAAGACAAAAAUCUUGCCCGGGGACGGAACGCAUAACCACGGAAUC
This 496-nucleotide unclassified non-coding RNA is filed under the name Eruca vesicaria. RNAcentral's name for it is "sequence contains ITS1, 5.8S rRNA gene and ITS2". Lineage: Eukaryota; Viridiplantae; Streptophyta; Magnoliopsida; Brassicales; Brassicaceae. The record is from RNAcentral.